CGGUUCGAUUAUUCUGAGGACAAAGGAGGAAAUAAUGGAGAAAAAGUGACGAAAACAUUUUACUGUCUUUCCAAGGUGAGGUCUUUGGGGUCCUGAAGUAGUUGGAUUCAGCAAGAGAGAAAUGGUGGGAGAGGAGAGAUAGAACUCAGUGGUUAGAGAAAUGAUUUCAGUGUUCACGGUAUUGGAGUAGGAGUCAUCCAGGAGCUGGCUUGGGUGAGUCGAGCAGUGAUAGGUGAGAUUUCCAGAGUAAAGGAAGUGCAGGACCACAGGACUAUAAGCCUCAUUGUGUGGAAACCACCGUACAGAAGGCUUUUGUCACCUGAUCCUCUGCUGUGAAAGCUGUUGCUUUUCUCAUCCUAUGUACUAAUAACUAAUAUAAAAUGGGGCUACUUAUCAGGUCAUAUUCUGAUCCCUGGAAAGGCUUGGGAAAAAAUGAUUUUUACAGCAUAGGAUUGCAAAAACUUAGUGCUGAAUGAGGGAUUUACACUUUUCUUGCAAACACAAGCCACUGCUGGUAGGCACAGAACACUGGGUGUGUUGAUUGCUAACGUGAUUUAUUGCCAUCCCUGUUUAUUCAGCAGCAUUCUAUGACCUUUCUUCCACAGUGUCCUCUGCCUUGAUAAAAUCGCUCUAUUCUAUGUCAGGUCCUUUUAAUUUUUUUUCAGAAUCAAGUAUGAAACAAUUUCAGUGUAUUCAAUUCUAACUUUUUUUUGCUCAUUUUUUAUUCCUUGAGGACUGAAUAAUACAUUUAGAAGUUGAAGAAGGCACCUAUACACAGUGCCUUUAACUUUUUUUGUCUAGAUUUUCAGCCUUGCCUCAGAAGAACCUUUCUUUUUUACAGAAGAACUUUGGGUGUCCAAUGUUUGUCACUUGGAUCUGAAAUUAAUUAUAUCUAUCCCCCAAAUAUGAGGAAUCAUCUAACUGGGCACAUGAGGGGAUAAUUGCACAUAUAAGAAAGAACAGUAAUGAGGUAGUUAUGCACAAAAGUAGCAGCGUAAAAAGUGGGGGCAGGGAAGAGAAGACUUAGGAAAGGACCCUGGAACUUUAGCCCCUAGUGGUCCACCCACCCAUCCCUCAACCCAAUGAAAUAUCUCGCAAAGUAUCAAUCUCUAUAGAACUCACUAGGAUUCAAAGAUUAUUAUGCUUCCAGUAUUUGAAGAGUUUAUAUGUCAUAACUUGAGCAGACCCAGUUUUGAGGAAAGAAAGGAAGUCUGUCAGGAAGAAAGGAAGGAAGGGAGAUUAUGCACCAAGUGUGUCCUAACUACUAUGGAAAGCUUUACAUAUAUCAUCUUAUUAAUGAUCAGGACAAAGGGAGAGAAAGGCCAAUAUCACAAUUUAGUAGAAGAAUACAAAUGCAUAAAUACGUGUAACCCCAUGUCAUUAGUACUAUAAUAAGAGUAGAAACCCAGAUGACAGACAGGCUGACUUUGCCUAGGAUUGACAAAGAAAGCUUCCCAGAGGAGCCCACAUUUCAACUCAGUCUGAUGAAUGAUCAGGAGCUGCCCAGGUUGAAAGGUGGGGAGGACACUUUAAGUAAAAAGAACAUUGCGCACAAAAGUGUAGCAAUGUAAGGAAUAGGGUAAGCUUGGACACUGUGGAGUGGUUAAGAGCUAAGAUGAAGGACUGGAGAAGUAGAUUGGGAUUCUCUAUGCCAAGCUAAAGCAUUGGAAUUGUAUUAAAAUGUAGGUAACAGGGAGCUAUUGAAAUUUUGUAAGCAUGAGAAUAUAACAUCAUCUGAUUUAUGUUUUGGAAAGAUGACCGAGAUAAAUAAGCAAAGGAGGAAAAGACCAAGGACACUCAUCUUCACCUAGCAAAUAUUUAUUGAGUACUUACUAUGUUCUGGGCAUGUUAUAAGGGCUGAAGAUACAGCACCCACCUAAAUAAUAAAAAUUCUUGAAGAUCCCACUGUGCCACCUUGGGUUAAUUAUCUGCCUUGUCUCUGUGGUAACACAGGUCACAGCUGCAGCUCAGAUUUGAUCCUUGGCUGGAAACGUCCAUAUGCCACAGGUGCAGCCAAAAAAUAAAAAUUAUUGCCCUCAUGCAGCUUUAGGGAAAGAAAGAGGCUAUAAACAAAUAUAACUGUUCAAGUGGCGAUAAGUGCUGUGGAGAAAAUUAAAGCAGGGAAGGAAGAUGGAUACUUUCUUUGCAACUGGAUGAUUCCUUCACCCUAUAUAUAUUAUAACUUCCCAUUGAGAAGGACGGGAACAUUUGCACAAAGACUGAAAGAGAAGAGGGAGCAAGCCUCUGUGGGAAGAGAAUUUUAGGCAGAUGGAUAAGUACCAAGCCCUCUAUAUUAUAUGAGAGCUCUGGAAACCCAAGAUGCCAAAAGAGAGCGAUUUAAGACUUACAAGCCCAUAUUUAUAUGAAGGAGGAACUGAGCCAAAGAAAUAGUGAUAACCUCUUAUAUACCAUUCAGAACUUCUUGUCAUUUGUCUAAAAGCAUUUGAGUUUGACAGGAUCUUCUUUUACAGAUCAUUGUUGGGGCAGAAUUUUGGACAGAGGUAACUAAACUAUUUCCUGCUAUCACUCAAGACCAGAAAUUUUGCAUUUAAUACAAAAGCCCAGUUGUCAUGCCAAAGCUAAGAGAGUAUUUCUCUGUUUCCUUUGCAAUUUUAAAUCAUUCAUUUCAUUUUCAGAUGCUCAAAAUCCAUACUUGAUGACCACAUUUAAGGGAACUCUUCCUCAAACCCAAGAAAGCCAUUGAUUGGAUGGCACACGUAGAAACCCUUCAGUAAAUAAGCAAGAUGAGUGAAAAUGGGAAUGUGUCUGGCUGAUCAUGGUCUAGCUGAGUGCACUGCACACACAGAGAUAAAAAUGAAGCUGGAAUCUGGAAUGAGAUCAUUAGUAUAUACCAUCCUGUAACUGUAGUCAGACCACACACAUUUUUAAUGCAUUGAACCCACCUUGAAAUGCCCCUCCAGUCCCUGGGAAGAAAGUACUAGAAAAAAAAAGGGGGUGGGGGGUGGGGGGAGGAUGCCGAGUGAUCCAUAAUGCUGUCAAUGUCACAAUUCAUCCUGAACAGCAGAAUAAAGUUAAUAGGGAAAGUUCUUUAGUGCUUGUUCAGCUGCUGCCUGCCACCCAAUUCUAUGGCAGAAAAGUGAGGAGGAAAUAGAUAUAUCAUUAUAGAAUGUAUCAAUAAUAAAUUAUAGAUAUGUCAUAUAUAAGGAGCAGUCCCCUUAUUUAUUUGAAGUAUCAAUCUUUAGGAGUGUGUAUUUGACCACUCAAUG
Molecule: long non-coding RNA, 3227 nt
Filed under: Sus scrofa (pig)
Lineage: Eukaryota; Metazoa; Chordata; Mammalia; Artiodactyla; Suidae
Description: lncRNA (ENSSSCG00000058120.1)
Source: RNAcentral